GACGAACGCUGGCGGCGUGCUUAACACAUGCAAGUCGAACGCUGAAGCUUGGUGCUUGCGCUGGGUGGAUGAGUGGCGAACGGGUGAGUAAUACGUGAGUAACCUGCCCUUGGCUCUGGGAUAAGCCUGGGAAACUGGGUCUAAUACUGGAUACGACAUGUCACCGCAUGGUGGUGUGUGGAAAGGGUUUUACUGGUUUUGGAUGGGCUCACGGCCUAUCAGCUUGUUGGUGGGGUAAUGGCUCACCAAGGCGACGACGGGUAGCCGGCCUGAGAUGGUGGCCGGCCACACUGGGACUGAGACACGGCCCAGACUCCUACGGGAGGCAGCAGUGGGGAAUAUUGCACAAUGGGCGGAAGCCUGAUGCAGCGACGCCGCGUGAGGGAUGACGGCCUUCGGGUUGUAAACCUCUUUCAGCACGGAAGAAGCGAAAGUGACGGUACGUGCAGAAGAAGCGCCGGCUAACUACGUG
This 472-nucleotide ribosomal RNA is filed under the name uncultured bacterium. Its description in RNAcentral is "partial 16S ribosomal RNA". It matches the Rfam family "Bacterial small subunit ribosomal RNA", at positions 28 to 507 of the family's 1533-position model. The record is from RNAcentral.